UACGUAGGGGGCAAGCGUUGUCCGGAAUCAUUGGGCGUAAAGAGCGUGUAGGCGGCUUGGCAAGUCUGACGUGAAAGCCCGCGGCUCAACCGCGGAUUGUCGUUGGAACUGCCUCGCUAGAGUCCGGAAGAGGAGAGCGGAAUUCCUGGUGUAGCGGUGGAAUGCGCAGAUAUCAGGAAGAACACCCGUGGCGAAGGCGGCUCUCUGGGACGGUACUGACGCUGAGGAGCGAAAGCAUGGGAGCGAACAGG
This 251-nucleotide ribosomal RNA is filed under the name uncultured bacterium. RNAcentral's name for it is "partial 16S ribosomal RNA". It matches the Rfam family "Bacterial small subunit ribosomal RNA", at positions 524 to 776 of the family's 1533-position model. The record is from RNAcentral.